RNAcentral lists this ribosomal RNA (253 nucleotides) under uncultured bacterium. RNAcentral's name for it is "partial 16S ribosomal RNA". It matches the Rfam family "Bacterial small subunit ribosomal RNA", at positions 524 to 776 of the family's 1533-position model. The record is from RNAcentral.
UACGUAGGGUGCAAGCGUUAAUCGGAAUUACUGGGCGUAAAGCGUGCGCAGGCGGUUGUGCAAGACCGAUGUGAAAUCCCCGGGCUUAACCUGGGAAUGGCAUUGGUGACUGCACGGCUAGAGUGUGUCAGAGGGGGGUAGAAUUCCACGUGUAGCAGUGAAAUGCGUAGAGAUGUGGAGGAGUACCGAUGGCGAAGGCAGCCCCCUGGGAUAACACUGACGCUCAUGCACGAAAGCGUGGGGAGCAAACAGG